RNAcentral lists this ribosomal RNA (927 nucleotides) under Triticum aestivum (bread wheat). RNAcentral describes it as "partial small subunit ribosomal RNA". Lineage: Eukaryota; Viridiplantae; Streptophyta; Magnoliopsida; Poales; Poaceae. The record is from RNAcentral.
AUGGCCAGCCUGUCCAUCACGGUGAUGACGCUGAACCUGCACGAGGGGAAUCAACCGAGCGAGAGCCCUAACAGCUGGGAGAAGCGCCGCGACAUCUGCGUUAGCGUCAUCACCAGUUACUCCCCCACCAUCCUCUGCACCCAGCAAGGGUUGAGGUGCCAGCUGGACUACCUACAGCAGUGCCUGCCUGGUUAUGAGCAAUUUGGCAUUUCAAGAAAAGGUUCACAGGACACCACUGAUGAAUAUUGCACAAUAUUCUACGAAAAGGAGAAGGUGGAGCUUACAGAAGGUGGCACCUUCUGGUUAUCAGAAUCUCCAUCAGUGCCAGGAAGCAUUUCAUGGGGAGCUACUGCACCAUGCAUUGCUACAUGGGCAACGUUUCAACUCAAAAGAGUAGAACAACCUGGGUUCAGUUUCCAGAUUGUAAAUACAAAUCUUGAUGAAGAUAGCCCUCGUGCUCGUAGACGAAGUGCUUUGCUUACGUGGCAGCAUAUAGCUUCUUUGCCACCCAACUUGCCUGUGAUCUAUUGUGGGGGCUUCAACACACAAAAGGAAUCUAUGACGGGACGUUUUUUGCUCGGCAGAUCUAGGGAACAUGGUGUUGUGGGUGAUAUGAGAGAUGCUUGGCCAAAUGCUCGUGUGCGCAAAAAUGUUUCACUGAUACACACAUAUCAUGGAUUUAAAGGGGAAAAACAAGGUGCGGUAGAAUUCCUAAAAUUAGUAUUCAGAGCUCUUUGUCUCUGCUGGGACAGACAAACUCAGGACUUGCAUAUUGACUGGAUACUGUUUAGAGGACGCCCACUGGUUCCUGCACUAUGCGAAGUCAUAAAUGACAAUAUAGAUGGUGUUUAUCCAUCAUCACAUUUUCCCAUCUUUGCUGAGUUUUUACUUCCACGCACAGUUCGCCUAGCCGAGAUGCCUUCAUAG